This 660-nucleotide ribosomal RNA is filed under the name uncultured Alphaproteobacteria bacterium. RNAcentral's name for it is "bacterial SSU rRNA". It matches the Rfam family "Bacterial small subunit ribosomal RNA", at positions 28 to 734 of the family's 1533-position model. Lineage: Bacteria; Pseudomonadati; Pseudomonadota; Alphaproteobacteria. The record is from RNAcentral.
AACGAACGCUGGCGGCAUGCCUAACACAUGCAAGUCGAACGAACCCUUCGGGGUUAGUGGCGCACGGGUGCGUAACGCGUGGGAAUCUGCCCUUUGCUUCGGAAUAACAGUUAGAAAUGACUGCUAAUACCGGAUGAUGUCUUCGGACCAAAGAUUUAUCGGCAAAGGAUGAGCCCGCGUAGGAUUAGGUAGUUGGUGGGGUAAAGGCCUACCAAGCCGACGAUCCUUAGCUGGUCUGAGAGGAUGAUCAGCCACACUGGGACUGAGACACGGCCCAGACUCCUACGGGAGGCAGCAGUGGGGAAUAUUGGACAAUGGGCGAAAGCCUGAUCCAGCAAUGCCGCGUGAGUGAUGAAGGCCUUAGGGUCGUAAAGCUCUUUUACCCGGGAUGAUAAUGACAGUACCGGGAGAAUAAGCCCCGGCUAACUCCGUGCCAGCAGCCGCGGUAAUACGGAGGGGGCUAGCGUUGUUCGGAAUUACUGGGCGUAAAGCGUACGUAGGCGGUUAUUCAAGUCAGAGGUGAAAGCCCGGGGCUCAACCCCGGAACGGCCUUUGAAACUAGGUAGCUAGAGUCUUGGAGAGGUCAGUGGAAUUCCGAGUGUAGAGGUGAAAUUCGUAGAUAUUCGGAAGAACACCAGUGGCGAAGGCGACUGACUGGAC